GAGCUCCUUUCAAAUUACCUACCAAUCAAAGGUAUUUAUUGUGUGUCCUAUCUUUCCACAGCUUCAUCUGGAGAGCCCCUCUGCCCCUCAUAACCCCAGAUGAGGGUGGUCAGUCUGCUAACUCCAAACUACGCUGGUAAGUCAAGCUAUUGCAGAAUUGCAUCUUUUGAGUCUUACUUUCUGAAAAUCUUUUCUGUAAUCCCUCUUUUCCCAGGCACCAUUUCAGCUCAAUCUACACCAGUUCUUUGGAAUCCUUGCUGACAUCCAUCUAGCUCAAAUGACUGGCCAGCAAUGUUUUGUCCUUUUUCUGCAUCAGACCAGCAGAAGAACACAUUAAAAAUAAAAGAGAAAUGGCUUACCUGGUUUACUGCCAGCCUGUGGCCUAUAUCCAGUUUAUAUCCUUCUGCUGAGGGAGGCAGUGUUUCCAUUGGCUCUAGUAGAUUUACCAUGGAGAUGCCAGUUGUAGAAAGUGAGAAAGGAAAAAAAAACUAUGUGGAGUUUGCCCACCCUUUUGAUCUCUACUCUUCCAUGUUGGCCAGAAGGCAUGGAAUGGGGAGGUGGGCUUUCCGAAUAACACAAUUCCUUCCCAUCUCUCCUGUCCAGGCUACUCCUCAAUCCUGGGCUAAGCCCAUGAGGGAUACACAUGUCCUCCAACAGGCCUUCCCUGAUUAACCCAUCUUCUCCCCACCUCUCGCUCCCUUUGGUGUUAUCUAUGCUCUUGUACGAAUGUCCUUUGGGCAUUUGGUAUUCACUUCACCCUCAGCCUCACAGCACUUAUUUUCAUAUGUGUAAAUUAUGGAUUUAUAUUAAUGUCUGUCUCCCCCUCCAGCCCCAGACUACAAGCUCAUUUUGGGCAGAAAACAUGUCUACCAACUCAGCUGUACUCUCCAAAGUGCUUAAUAUGGCAUUCUGUUCACAGUAAGAAUUCAAUAAAUAUCACUGAUUGGCUAUGGAGGCCAAGAGGGUUAAGUGGGGACCACAGGUGUACUUUAACAUCAACUUACAAGCCUCUUGUCACAUGUUCCGAACACUCCGAGAGGGCAGUGUAGAAAAUAUUUUGUUUAGUGGGAGCCGAGGCCACAGGAACAUCAGAGUACUGUAUAAAUUAGGAGCUGGGGGACCAUUUUCCUCCAGAAGGCCCUUUUCUGGAUCAGAUCAGCAGAAGAAUUCAUUAAAAAAAAAAAAACGAACACUUUACCUGGCUUACUGCAUCCUGUGGCCUAUAUCCAGUUUAUAUCCUUCUGGAGAUUUCCUUCGUGUCCCCCUGGUCCAGUACACUGAUCUGCUCCACUAUGAAGGGGAAAAGGAUUGACACAACUGGGACAAAUGUAGAAUUUUUUAGUGUAACCUAGUGGAAGGAGCGCAAGGCUGAGAGUUGAGCAACCAGGUUAUUGUU
RNAcentral lists this long non-coding RNA (1396 nucleotides) under Ornithorhynchus anatinus (platypus). RNAcentral describes it as "lncRNA (ENSOANG00000040903.1)". The record is from RNAcentral. Lineage: Eukaryota; Metazoa; Chordata; Mammalia; Monotremata; Ornithorhynchidae.